This 484-nucleotide ribosomal RNA is filed under the name uncultured bacterium. Its description in RNAcentral is "partial 16S ribosomal RNA". It matches the Rfam family "Bacterial small subunit ribosomal RNA", at positions 30 to 507 of the family's 1533-position model. The record is from RNAcentral.
AUUGAACGCUGGCGGCAGGCCUAACACAUGCAAGUCGAGCGGAUGAAGGGAGCUUGCUCCUGGAUUCAGCGGCGGACGGGUGGGUAAUGCCUAGGAAUCUGCCUGGUAUUGGGGGAUAACGUCCGGAAACGGGCGCUAAUAUCGCAUACGUCCUGAGGGAGAAAGUGGGGGAUCUUCGGACCUCACGCUAUCAGAUGAGCCUAGGUCGGAUUAGCUAGUUGGUGGGGUAAAGGCCUACCAAGGCGACGAUCCGUAACUGGUCUGAGAGGAUGAUCAGUCACACUGGAACUGAGACACGGUCCAGACUCCUACGGGAGGCAGCAGUGGGGAAUAUUGGACAAUGGGCGAAAGCCUGAUCCAGCCAUGCCGCGUGUGUGAAGAAGGUCUUCGGAUUGUAAAGCACUUUAAGUUGGGAGGAACGGCAGUAAGUUAAUACCUUGCUGUUUUGACGUUACCAACAGAAUAAGCACCGGCUAACUUCGUG